Molecule: long non-coding RNA, 2005 nt
Organism: Acinonyx jubatus (cheetah)
Lineage: Eukaryota; Metazoa; Chordata; Mammalia; Carnivora; Felidae
Exons: 5
Source: RefSeq, a predicted model, not a curated record
GACGGGUGCCAUCUUGACUAAGGGCAAGAGCAUUCGCACUUGCCCAGCAAGACUAAGGAAAGAAAGGCAGGCUGCCAUUUUUUGUGAGGGCACUCAGGCCGAGGCCAGGGCACGCGCCAUCUUUAUUGAGGGCAAAGGCAGGCCUCGGUCCGUUAAUUUAAGCGGGAGAUGGAAACCCAACCCUCAAAGUUCACCGACCCUCGAAGUUCCUAACCCAGGCUCAAGCGCACCUGAGAUCAGUAAACUGAGGCCCAGAGAGAGGAAAUGACUCUCCCAAAGCCGUGCACGGUAAGCGUGUCGACAGCAGCCACACCCACGGCUCCUGCCAACUAGACCGGGGCUCUCCACAACGCUGGCUGCCGUUCUUAAUGCACAGAUCAAUCACUAAACACAGAUAAUUUUGACAGAGCUGGGUCAGUGAAGUCAACCUUUCUCUCCCCAUCUCAGCAUUGCUACCUUCCUCUGCAGGCGGUCAGAAGGAUCCUGGAUGAAAAUGACCUGAAAAGAUGGGUGAGCAGCAGAUGAAAAGCUCUUGAGGAAAGAAACGAGGGAGAGGACUCACACAUUUCGAGCGUCUGUCACAAGGCGUCACCUCGCUGACAUCCCGCGGCAGAGUCCUCUGGAACAGGUGCGACCGUCAUCACCGUUUUACCCACAGAUAAGAAGACUGAGACCAAAAGAGGUCGUUGUCUCACGGUUCAUGAGUUCGAGCCCGGUGUCGGCUCUGCACUGACAGCGUGGAGCCUGCUUGGGAUUCUCUCUCUUUGCCCCUCCCCUGCUCGUUUUCUAAAUAAUAAAUUUCAGGUCUUCCUCAACAGAAGCUAAGAGUUCCCACUGCUUGAAGAGAAACGGCAGCCUAGCAAAGUCCAAGGUUCCCAGAGAUGCAAGCCCAAAUAUGUUGAUGCUUAAAUAAAAUUUAUACUGUUCAUAGUGCAGAAGACCAGGCUUGAUUUUAGACAAGCAACAGAAAUGUACAUUACCAAGCAACGUCUCUUAAGUAACUUCACAAAAAAAGAAAACAAGAGGAAAAAUCCCACCGCAUACACUUACACAGUCUUACACAAGAAUAUCCCAAGGUACUUAAAGAUCUAUCAAAGUAAAUCUGUAUUCAUCAAAUAUGAAGUGCAGGAAUAUCUUAUUACUCAACAAGAAGGAACUAGUCGAUUUAAGUCUCGCUCGACUGUCAGAAAAUUAUAAAGGAAAUAAUGUGCUUUCCAAAGAAUUGCUAACAAUUUAUUAGCCAAUUUCCAAGGCUCUUAGAAAGUUAAUCAAAAUAUGUUUGUUCCUCAUUUCUCUACAUGAUUAGAUUAUUCGGCAUUCGGAAGAAUAAACAGUUACUUUUAAUGACAGUGUUUGCCGAACUCACCAACCUACAAGAAAAUGAUAUUAUCUUGGAAUACCUAAUCACUUCAUAAUAUCUCAUAAUCAUAACAUAGCCAGUGCUCUCAAAGUGGUUGCUCUUCCUGUAAGUGGACUUUCCCGUCAUAAUUCUGCUCUGCGCACUCAAAAGACCGAUUUAAGCAGUCAUCUUUCUCCCUGAAGACGGUGCUCCUUAGUUGCUGAUGUUAAAACAAACAAACAAAAAUCCAUGAGUGGCUUUAUGGAUCCUGAUAAAGUGGUUGCCUAGUCUAGAUACCAUGCUUCACUUUUCCUGGGUAGAUUUUAAAACAAUGGGAAAGGAGCUGCUUUCUCUCUCUUUUUAAAUAUAGAAGGGAGUGGGAAAGUUUGGUUGUGAGACUGCACUAGGUGGUGCUUUCCAUGUUACUCGUGCCCCAUCGCCAAUUUCUGCAUGUAUAAGAAUUAAAUCACUCAGCAAAUAUAAAGCUUUCCCUGUGUGUGACUUCUUUUACAGAAUAAAGCCUUUACAACACCCCCUUUCAUGGUCUCCCUCUGUUAGAGGCUGUUGAAUGCUUUUUGAAGCAAAGGUCAAUGAUAUAAAUGCAAUGAAAUCAAAGACAGGGGGAAAAAAAGUCCUGUUAACAGACCACUUAUGUGUAUCCAUAGA